Molecule: long non-coding RNA, 1199 nt
Filed under: Sus scrofa (pig)
Lineage: Eukaryota; Metazoa; Chordata; Mammalia; Artiodactyla; Suidae
Description: lncRNA (ENSSSCG00005008851.1)
Source: RNAcentral
UUUUUUUGUAGUUGGAAUAGUUGCUUUGUUAAUUACCUUUUACGGACAUACUCUUGUCUUAUAACCAGCAGCAUGUUGGCUGGAGCCUGGGGGGGCGGGGGGCGGGUUGUGGUAAGAUGUACCAUUAGUGCCAAGCUGUAACCAACCAGGUGAUCUGGGGCAAGGUAAGGCAUGAAGAUGCCCAGCUUUGGGGCUGCAUCCACCCUCCCUGAAACACCAAAACCACCACAAAAGAUAACUGCCUACAUGAAACUGAGUGGCCCCCAAAGGGUAACAAUACCUCCAGAAGAUGAGUCAUUUAUGGAAACCGAAUAGGAUACAAAUGAAGAGUUUAGGUUCAGGAGCCAGAGUGCUGUGAUUUGAAUCCUGGCUCCUCCACUUAACUAGCUGUGUAAUCGUGGAAGAAAUGAUGUAACCUCGCUAAUCCACAGUUUCCUAUCUGUAAAAUGGGUAUAGUAAUAAUACCUGCCACACAGGAUUGUUUAUUAAAACAGACAGCCACGUAAAGUACUUGGCCUGGUGCCUGGCAUACGGUGCCCAGCUAACAGUGUCAGCUACUGUUGUUACUAUUACUCAUCUCUUGCACCUGUGUUGGGCUGAGGUCCGUUCUCACCUACUGCUUCCAUGAAUGAAAAAUCAGAGGCUUGAACACAGGAAUGAAUUAUCCCUGUUAAUCCUGAUCUUGCAACACUGAGGCCACAGGAAAUACAACUGCACUAACUGAUACUUUAUUUAUUUAUUUGGUCUUUUUGUCUUUUCAGGGCCACACCUGCAGCAUAUGGAGGUUCCCAGGCCAGGUGUCCAACUGAAGCCGGAGCCACCGGCUUACACCAGAGCCACAGCAAUGCAGGAUCCUAGCCAUGUCUGUGACCUACACCACAGCUCAAGGCAACGCUGGAUCCUCAACCGGCUGAGCGAGGUCAGGGAUUGAACCUGCAUCUUCAUGGAAUACUAGUCAGGUUUGCCAACCCCUGAGCCACGAUGGGAACUCUUGACACUUUUAUAAUCAAAGUGGUAAUAUUUCUGACAGGGCCCUCAGUUAAAUCAUAAAGAUUCCAUCCUGGAAAGAAUCCUUGAUCCAUCUAAAACCUUGUUACUGUGUCCUCUGUUGUUAUUUUUAAUUCCUGAGAGUAACACCACAGUGUAUUUCAUUAGGGUUUCUCUUCAGCAUCUCUAUCUUAAAAGCUAAUGUACUCAAA